RNAcentral lists this transfer RNA (65 nucleotides) under Benedenia hoshinai. RNAcentral describes it as "tRNA-Ser". The record is from RNAcentral. Lineage: Eukaryota; Metazoa; Platyhelminthes; Monogenea; Capsalidea; Capsalidae.
GUAAGGUAGAAUUAAAUUCCACUUUGAUUUGAAAUCAAACAGAUUGCAUGUAUGCAAGCCUUAUU